Arabis alpina (gray rockcress) is the source of this 104-nucleotide small nucleolar RNA. It matches the Rfam family "Small nucleolar RNA R30/Z108". Rfam says of the family: snoR30 is a C/D box small nucleolar RNA which acts as a methylation guide for 18S ribosomal RNA in plants. The record is from Rfam. NCBI's taxonomy places the organism in Eukaryota, Viridiplantae, Streptophyta, Magnoliopsida, Brassicales, Brassicaceae.
UGAGAUUACAAUGAGGAUUUACAGCUCCCUCUUCUGAUUUUUUAUUUGAAGAAAGUGGCUGGCAGAAUCGAACCAUAAUUUUUUAUGUUGCCAUAACUGAGUAA